RNAcentral lists this ribosomal RNA (1372 nucleotides) under uncultured bacterium. Its description in RNAcentral is "bacterial SSU rRNA". It matches the Rfam family "Bacterial small subunit ribosomal RNA", at positions 28 to 1381 of the family's 1533-position model. The record is from RNAcentral.
GAUGAACGCUGGCGGCGUGCCUAAUACAUGCAAGUCGAGCGAACGGACGAGAAGCUUGCUUCUCUGAUGUUAGCGGCGGACGGGUGAGUAACACGUGGAUAACCUACCUAUAAGACUGGGAUAACUUCGGGAAACCGGAGCUAAUACCGGAUAAUAUUUUGAACCGCAUGGUUCAAAAGUGAAAGACGGUCUUGCUGUCACUUAUAGAUGGAUCCGCGCUGCAUUAGCUAGUUGGUAAGGUAACGGCUUACCAAGGCAACGAUGCAUAGCCGACCUGAGAGGGUGAUCGGCCACACUGGAACUGAGACACGGUCCAGACUCCUACGGGAGGCAGCAGUAGGGAAUCUUCCGCAAUGGGCGAAAGCCUGACGGAGCAACGCCGCGUGAGUGAUGAAGGUCUUCGGAUCGUAAAACUCUGUUAUUAGGGAAGAACAUAUGUGUAAGUAACUGUGCACAUCUUGACGGUACCUAAUCAGAAAGCCACGGCUAACUACGUGCCAGCAGCCGCGGUAAUACGUAGGUGGCAAGCGUUAUCCGGAAUUAUUGGGCGUAAAGCGCGCGUAGGCGGUUUUUUAAGUCUGAUGUGAAAGCCCACGGCUCAACCGUGGAGGGUCAUUGGAAACUGGAAAACUUGAGUGCAGAAGAGGAAAGUGGAAUUCCAUGUGUAGCGGUGAAAUGCGCAGAGAUAUGGAGGAACACCAGUGGCGAAGGCGACUUUCUGGUCUGUAACUGACGCUGAUGUGCGAAAGCGUGGGGAUCAAACAGGAUUAGAUACCCUGGUAGUCCACGCCGUAAACGAUGAGUGCUAAGUGUUAGGGGGUUUCCGCCCCUUAGUGCUGCAGCUAACGCAUUAAGCACUCCGCCUGGGGAGUACGACCGCAAGGUUGAAACUCGAAGGAAUUGACGGGGACCCGCACAAGCGGUGGAGCAUGUGGUUUAAUUCGAAGCAACGCGAAGAACCUUACCAAAUCUUGACAUCCUUUGACAACUCUAGAGAUAGAGCCUUCCCCUUCGGGGGACAAAGUGACAGGUGGUGCAUGGUUGUCGUCAGCUCGUGUCGUGAGAUGUUGGGUUAAGUCCCGCAACGAGCGCAACCCUUAAGCUUAGUUGCCAUCAUUAAGUUGGGCACUCUAAGUUGACUGCCGGUGACAAACCGGAGGAAGGUGGGGAUGACGUCAAAUCAUCAUGCCCCUUAUGAUUUGGGCUACACACGUGCUACAAUGGACAAUACAAAGGGCAGCGAAACCGCGAGGUCAAGCAAAUCCCAUAAAGUUGUUCUCAGUUCGGAUUGUAGUCUGCAACUCGACUACAUGAAGCUGGAAUCGCUAGUAAUCGUAGAUCAGCAUGCUACGGUGAAUACGUUCCCGGGUCU